UGUGUGCAUUACUCAGUCCACAGGA
Molecule: unclassified non-coding RNA, 25 nt
Filed under: Mus musculus (house mouse)
Lineage: Eukaryota; Metazoa; Chordata; Mammalia; Rodentia; Muridae
Description: oocyte_clustered_small_RNA362
Source: RNAcentral